GGGGUUCGAUCAUGGCUGGAAUGAACGCUGGCGGGAUGCUUUACACAUGCAAGUCGAACACAACGCUGGACUUUCGGUCUGGUAGCUGAGUGGCGAACGGGUGAGUAAUGUAUCGGAACGUGCCCUAGUAAAGCGAAAGGAUAACUGCACUUGAAAGCGUAGCUAAGCCACAUACGCCCUUCUGAGGAAAGCAGGGACCUUCGGGCCUCGCACUAUUAGAGCGGCGAAAUAUCGGAUUAGCUAGUUGGUGGGGUAACGACCACCAAGGCGACGAUCAUGAGCGCUGGUUUGAGAGGACGACUGACCACACUGGGACUGAGACACGGCCCAGACUCCUACGAGAGGCAGCGGUGGGGAAUUUUGGACAAUGAAACUGAAAUCCAGCCAUCCCGCGUGCGAUAAGAAGGCCUUCGGGUUGUAAGCACCUGGGCAGGAAAGAAACGGCACGGGAUAAUACCCGUGCAACCCGAGACAAUACUACUGCAGAAUAAGCACCGGCUUCAACUUUACGUGCCAGCAGCCGCGGUAAUACGUAGGGUGCAGCGUUAAUCGGAAUUACUGGGCGUAAAGCGUGCGCAGGCGGUUCCGGAAGAAAGAUGUGAAAAGCAUCCCAGAGCUUAACUUUGGAACUUUGCAUUUUUAACUACCGAGCUAGAGUGUGUCAGAGGAGAGGUGGAAUUCCUGGUGUAGCAGUGAAAUGCGUGGAUAUGCGGGAGGAACACCGAUGGCGAAGGCAGUCAGGAUAUGCCGGCGCUCAUGCGAAAGCGUGGGGAGCAAACGGAUUAGAUACCCUGGUAGUCCACGCCUAAACGAUGUCAACUGGCUGUUGGGGCCUUCCGGGCCUUGGUAGGCCUGGCUAACGCGUGAAGUUGACCGCCUGGGGGGUACGGUCGCAAGAUUAAAGACUCAAAGGAAUUGACGGGGACCCGCACAAGCGGUGGAUGAUGUGGAUUAAUUCGAUGCAACACGCGAAAAACCUUCCUACCUUGACAUGUCUGGAAUCCCGAAGAGAUUUGGGAGUGCUCGCAAGAGAACCGGAACACAGGUGCUGCAUGGCUGUCGUCGUGUUGUCUGUCGUGAGAUGUUGGGUUAAGUCCGCAACGAGCGCAACCCUUGUCAUUAGUUGCUACGAAAGGAGCCUCUAAUGAGACUGCCGGUGACAAACCGGAGGAAGGAUAGGGAUGACGUCAAGUCUCCCAUGGCCCUUAUGGGUAGGGCUUCACACGUCAAUGGUCGGGACGGAGAGGGGUCGCCAGACCCGCGAGGGGGAGCCAAUCCCAGAAACCCGAUCGUGGUCCGGAUCGCAGUCUGCAGCUCGACUGCGUGGAAGUCGGAUCCGCUAGUAAUCGCGGAUCAACAUGUCGCGGUGAAUACGUUCCGGGUCUUGUACACACCGCCCGUCACACCAUGGGGAUGGGUUUUACCAGAAGUAGUUAGCCCUAACCGUAAGGAGGCGAUUACCACGGUAAGGAUUCGUGACUGGGGUGAAGUCGUAAAGGUAAG
Molecule: ribosomal RNA, 1503 nt
Filed under: uncultured Bordetella sp.
Lineage: Bacteria; Pseudomonadati; Pseudomonadota; Betaproteobacteria; Burkholderiales; Alcaligenaceae
Description: partial 16S-23S ribosomal RNA intergenic spacer
Rfam family: Bacterial small subunit ribosomal RNA
Source: RNAcentral